ACAAACCAAAAAAGUAAAUUUAUUUAAAUUACUAAAAUAGCUUUUAAAGUCAUUUACAGAUUAGCUGCUACAAUUAUUUUUCCUGAUAUAAAAAAUCAAGAAUAUCUGACUUCUGACAGUGUCGGGAACAAAUUAUAAUAAGUAGUAUAAAUUUAUGAAUAUUGGUAGUCCUAGUGGGAAGAAAUAAGACCAUACUCUACCAUCAGUUAGGGAUCCUCAAAAGGUAAAUGA
Molecule: long non-coding RNA, 231 nt
Filed under: Bos taurus (domestic cattle)
Lineage: Eukaryota; Metazoa; Chordata; Mammalia; Artiodactyla; Bovidae
Description: long non-coding RNA NONBTAT008090
Source: RNAcentral